UUAGAGUUUGAUCCUGGCUCAGGAUGAACGCUAGCGGCAGGCUUAACACAUGCAAGUCGAGGGGCAGCGAGAUCAGUGCUUGCACUGAUUGUCGGCGACCGGCGCACGGGUGCGUAACGCGUAUGCAACCUACCCAUUACAGGGGGAUAACACUGAGAAAUCGGUACUAAUACCCCAUAACAUCCAGGGAGGCAUCUUCUUGGGUUGAAAACUCCGGUGGUAAUGGAUGGGCAUGCGUUGUAUUAGUUAGUUGGUGGGGUAACGGCUCACCAAGACAACGAUACAUAGGGGGACUGAGAGGUUAACCCCCCACAUUGGUACUGAGACACGGACCAAACUCCUACGGGAGGCAGCAGUGAGGAAUAUUGGUCAAUGGACGCAAGUCUGAACCAGCCAUGCCGCGUGCAGGAAGACGGCUCUAUGAGUUGUAAACUGCUUUUGUACGAGGGUAAACGCAGAUACGCGUAUCUGUCUGAAAGUAUCGUACGAAUAAGGAUCGGCUAACUCCGUGCCAGCAGCCGCGGUAAUACGGAGGAUUCAAGCGUUAUCCGGAUUUAUUGGGUUUAAAGGGUGCGUAGGCGGUCGGAUAAGUUAGAGGUGAAAUCCCGGGGCUCAACUUCGGAAUUGCCUCUGAUACUGUUCGGCUAGAGAGUAGUUGCGGUAGGCGGAAUGUAUGGUGUAGCGGUGAAAUGCUUAGAGAUCAUACAGAACACCGAUUGCGAAGGCAGCUUACCAAGCUACUUCUGACGUUGAGGCACGAAAGCGUGGGGAGCAAACAGGAUUAGAUACCCUGGUAGUCCACGCAGUAAACGAUGAUAACUCGUUGUCGGCGAUACAGUGUCGGUGACUAAGCGAAAGCGAUAAGUUAUCCACCUGGGGAGUACGUUCGCAAGAAUGAAACUCAAAGGAAUUGACGGGGGCCCGCACAAGCGGAGGAACAUGUGGUUUAAUUCGAUGAUACGCGAGGAACCUUACCCGGGCUUGAAAGUUAGUGACGGAUCUUGAAAGAGGUCUUCCCUUCGGGGCACGAAACUAGGUGCUGCAUGGUUGUCGUCAGCUCGUGCCGUGAGGUGUCGGGUUAAGUCCCAUAACGAGCGCAACCCCUACCGUUAGUUGCCAGCAGGUCAAGCUGGGCACUCUGACGGGACUGCCGGUGUAAGCCGAGAGGAAGGUGGGGAUGACGUCAAAUCAGCACGGCCCUUACGUCCGGGGCUACACACGUGUUACAAUGGUAGGUACAGAGGGCCGCUACCCCGUGAGGGGAUGCCAAUCUCGAAAGCCUAUCUCAGUUCGGAUCGGAGGCUGAAACCCGCCUCCGUGAAGUUGGAUUCGCUAGUAAUCGCGCAUCAGCCAUGGCGCGGUGAAUACGUUCCCGGGCCUUGCACACACCGCCCGUCAAG
Molecule: ribosomal RNA, 1400 nt
Filed under: uncultured bacterium
Lineage: Bacteria
Description: bacterial SSU rRNA
Rfam family: Bacterial small subunit ribosomal RNA
Source: RNAcentral